Long non-coding RNA from Oncorhynchus keta (chum salmon), 687 nucleotides. RefSeq lists it as uncharacterized. The transcript has 4 exons. The record is from RefSeq and is a predicted model, not a curated record. Lineage: Eukaryota; Metazoa; Chordata; Actinopteri; Salmoniformes; Salmonidae.
GUCCAGUUAGAUCCUAUUACUAGGGUCCAGUUAGAUCCUAUUACUAGGGUCCAGUUAGAUCCUAUUACUAGGGUCCAGUUAGAUCCUAUUACUAGGGUCCAGUUAGAUCCUAUUACUAGGGUCCAGUUAGAUCCUAUUACUAGGGUCCAGUUAGAUCCUAUUACUAGGGUCCAGUUAGAUCCUAUUACUAGGGUCCAGUUAGAUCCUAUUACUAGGGUCCAGUUAGAUCCUAUUACUAGGGGCCAGUUAGAUCCUAUUACUAGGGGCCAGUUAGAUCCUAUUACUAGGGUCCAGUUAGAUCCUAUUACUAGGGGCCAGUUAGAUCCUAUUACUAGGGGCCAGUUAGAUCCUAUUACUAGGGUGCAGAUAGGUCCUAUUACUAGGUUCCAGUUAGAUCCUAUUACUAGGGUCCAGAUAGAUCCUAUUACUAGGGGCCAAUUAGAUCCUAUUACUAGGGGCCAGUUAGAUCCUAUUACUAGGGUGCAGAUAGAUCAUAUUACUAGGGGCCAGUUAGAUCAUAUUACUAGGGGCCAGUUAGAUCCUAUUACUAGGGGCCAGUUAGAUCCUAUUACUAGGGGCCAGUUAGAUCCUAUUACUAGGGACCAGUUAGAUCCUAUCACUAGGGUCCAGUUAGAUCCUAUUACUAGGGUCCAGAUCAGUAUUUCCUUAUCAGGACACGUGGUCAGA